GAUGAACGCUGUCGGCGCGCCUAAUUCACGUAACUCUAUUGAACAUACUAGGAGCUUGCUCCUCUGUCGUUAGCUGCGGCCGGGUGAUUAACACGUGGAUUACUCACCUACUCAACUGGGAUUACUUCGGGAAACCUGAGCUAUUACCUGAUCAUAUAUUGAACCGCAUGGUCCUAUAGCGAAAGACGCUUUUGCUGUCCCUUAUAGUUGGAUCCGCGCCGCAUUAGCUAGUUGGUAAGGUAACGGCUUACCAAGGCAACGAUGCGUAGCCGACCUGAGAGGGUGAUCGGCCACACUGGAACUGAGAAAAGGUCCAGACUCCUACGGGAGGCAGCAGUAGGGAAUCUUCAGCAAUGGGCGAAAGCCUGAAGGAGCAACGCCGCGUGAGUGAUGAAGGUCUUCGGAUCGUAAAACUCUGUUAUUAGGGAAGAACAAAUGUGUAAGUAACUAUGCACGUCUUGACGGUACCUAAUCAGAAAGCCACGGCUAACUACGUG
This 497-nucleotide ribosomal RNA is filed under the name uncultured bacterium. RNAcentral describes it as "partial 16S ribosomal RNA". It matches the Rfam family "Bacterial small subunit ribosomal RNA", at positions 28 to 507 of the family's 1533-position model. The record is from RNAcentral.